GCAAGUCGAGCGCGGGAAGCGAGUGGAUCCCUUCGGGGUGAAGCUCGUGGAACGAGCGGCGGACGGGUGAGUAACACGUGGGCAACCUGCCUGUAAGACCGGAAUAACCCCGGGAAACCGGGGCUAAUGCCGGGUAAUACUUUUCUUCGCAUGAAGGAAAGUUGAAAGAUGGCUUCUUGCUAUCACUUACAGAUGGGCCCGCGGCGCAUUAGCUAGUUGGUGAGGUAACGGCUCACCAAGGCGACGAUGCGUAGCCGACCUGAGAGGGUGAUCGGCCACACUGGGACUGAGACACGGCCCAGACUCCUACGGGAGGCAGCAGUAGGGAAUCUUCCGCAAUGGACGAAAGUCUGACGGAGCAACGCCGCGUGAACGAUGAAGGUCUUCGGAUCGUAAAGUUCUGUUGUUAGGGAAGAACAAGUACCGUGCGAAUAGAGCGGUACCUUGACGGUACCUAACGAGGAAGCCCCGGCUAACUACGUGCCAGCAGCCGCGGUAAUACGUAGGGGGCAAGCGUUGUCCGGAAUUAUUGGGCGUAAAGCGCGCGCAGGCGGUUCCUUAAGUCUGAUGUGAAAGCCCACGGCUCAACCGUGGAGGGUCAUUGGAAACUGGGGAACUUGAGGACAGAAGAGGAGAGUGGAAUUCCACGUGUAGCGGUGAAAUGCGUAGAUAUGUGGAGGAACACCAGUGGCGAAGGCGACUCUCUGGUCUGUUUCUGACGCUGAGGUGCGAAAGCGUGGGUAGCAAACAGGAUUAGAUACCCUGGUAGUCCACGCCGUAAACGAUGAGUGCUAGGUGUUAGGGGGCUUCCACCCCUUAGUGCUGAAGUUAACGCAUUAAGCACUCCGCCUGGGGAGUACGGCCGCAAGGCUGAAACUCAAAGGAAUUGACGGGGGCCCGCACAAGCGGUGGAGCAUGUGGUUUAAUUCGAAGCAACGCGAAGAACCUUACCAGGUCUUGACAUCCUUGGACAACCCUAGAGAUAGGGCUUUCCCUUCGGGGACCAAGUGAC
RNAcentral lists this ribosomal RNA (1012 nucleotides) under Halobacillus trueperi. RNAcentral describes it as "bacterial SSU rRNA". It matches the Rfam family "Bacterial small subunit ribosomal RNA", at positions 57 to 1035 of the family's 1533-position model. The record is from RNAcentral. Lineage: Bacteria; Bacillati; Bacillota; Bacilli; Caryophanales; Bacillaceae.